UGCGUUGUUGGUUGUGACCCA
RNAcentral lists this non-coding RNA (21 nucleotides) under Arabidopsis thaliana (thale cress). The record is from RNAcentral. Lineage: Eukaryota; Viridiplantae; Streptophyta; Magnoliopsida; Brassicales; Brassicaceae.